RNAcentral lists this ribosomal RNA (486 nucleotides) under uncultured bacterium. RNAcentral's name for it is "bacterial SSU rRNA". It matches the Rfam family "Bacterial small subunit ribosomal RNA", at positions 28 to 513 of the family's 1533-position model. The record is from RNAcentral.
GAUGAACGCUAGCGGGAGGCCUAAUACAUGCAAGUCGAGCGGUAGAGUGACUUCGGUUGCUUGAGAGCGGCGAACGGGUGAGUAACGCGUACACAAUCUACCUUUAAGAGGGGAAUAGCCCUGGGAAACUGGGAUUAAUGCCCCAUGGCAUCACGAAGUGGCAUCGCUUUGUGAUUAAAGCUGAGGUGCUUAGAGAUGAGUGUGCGUCUGAUUAGCUAGUCGGUGCGGUAACGGCGCACCAAGGCGACGAUCAGUAGGGGGCGUGAGAGCGUGGACCCCCACACGGGUACUGAGACACGGACCCGACUCCUACGGGAGGCAGCAGUAAGGAAUAUUGGUCAAUGGAGGAAACUCUGAACCAGCCAUCCCGCGUGCAGGAAGAAUGCCCUAUGGGUUGUAAACUGCUUUUAUCUGGGAAGAAAAGUCGGCAUUUAUGCUGAUCUGACGGUACCAGAGGAAUAAGCACCGGCUAACUCCGUGCCAGCA